GAGCCCGGCACAAAGAUGGCGGCGCCGCCCCGCGGUGACGCCCGGAAGCGCUGUCCCCUUCCCGUGCCCAAGAUGGCGGUGGCGGCCCUGGCGGCGCAGGCCGGGCCCGGUGCCGGUGCCGGUGUCGGUGUGGCGGCGAUGGCGGCGCGCGGCGCCGAUGCCGAGGCGCUGUUCGAGGCGCACACGGCGGCCGAGCUGCGGGCGGUGGAGCGGCGGCUGCGCGCCGGCAUCGAGCAGAAGCGGGAGGAGCUGCGGCAGAUGGUGGGCGAGCGCUACCGCGACCUCAUCGAGGCGGCCGACACCAUCGCCGAGAUGCGGCGGAGCGCCGAGCGCCUGCUGGGCGCCGUGAGGGGGCUGCAGCGCGGCGGCACGGCCCGGCCCGGCCCCGCCGGCACGGCUCUCCCAGCGGCUCACCAGGGUUUCUACGGGGCGGCGGCGCAGCUGAAGCUGCUGCUGGAGGUUCCCGAGCAGGUGUGGGGCGCGGUGGAAGGCGGCCGCUACCUGCCCGCGGCCCGGCUGCACCUGCUGGGGGCUCACCUGCGCCGCCAGCUGCAGCUGGACACCCCCCGAGCCCGCUGCAGCGCCGUCCUCGCCCGCUUCCCCAUCCUGCUGCGGCAGGUGGCCGCUGCCAGCCACCUCAGAUCCACCAUCCUGCAGGAGAGCAAGGCCCUGCUGCGCUGCCCCACGGGCUCGGACCAGGCCGUGGCAGAAGCCCUGUGUGCCAUCAUGCUGCUGGAGGACAGCUCCCCACGGCAGGCCCUGGCUGACUUCCUGCUGGCCAGGAAACUGGCCAUCCAGCAGCUGCUCAACCAGCCACACCACGGCGCAGGUAUCAAAGCCCAGGUGUGCUCCCUGAUGGAGCUGCUCACCACCACGCUGUACCAGGCCCACGCUCUCUUCUACACCGUGCCCGAGGGGGUGGCCCCGGAGCCAGCCCUGCCCUGUGGCUUGCUCUUCUCCACCCUGGAGAGCAGCACGGGCCAGAACCCUGCAGGGAGAGGAGGGGUGCUGGAGGAGGAUCUGAAGCUGAGCAGCUGGUUCAAGUACUUGCCCGAGUCCGUGGUGGAAUUCCAGCCCGCCCUGCGGACCCUGGCACACCCCAUCAGCCAGGAGUACCUCAGGGAGACCCUGCAGCAGUGGAUCAGCAUGUGCAGCGAUGACAUCAGGACAGGGGUGAGGACCCUGCUGGUGUACGUGAAGAGCAUGAAGGGGCUGGCAGGGAUCCGUGAUGCCGUGUGGGAGCUGCUGUCCAGCGAGUCCAGCAGCCACAACUGGGAGGCUGUGUGCCGGCGCCUGCUGGACAGGCCUGUGUCCUUCUGGGAGGAGCUGCUGCAGCAGCUCUUCCUGGACAGGCUGCAGACUCUGACCAAAGAAGGCUUCGACUCCAUUUCAAGCAGCUCCAAGCAGCUGCUGGCUGUAGCCUUGCAGGAGUUGGAAGUGCAAGCUGGCAGCGGUGCCCUGAGCAAGCAGAUCCAGCUGGAGCACAACGUGGCCCUGUUCCUGUGGUCGGAGAGCCCCGGGGACCUGCCCGGGGACGCGGCGUGGGUCAGCGUGGGGCAGCGCGGGCCCUUCGCCAGGAGCGGGCUGGCCAUGAAGGCGCAGGCGCUCACCCCGUGCGUGCAGAGCUUCUGCUCCACGCUGGACUCCAAGCUGAAGGCCAGCCUGGAGGAUGUCCUGUCCUACCUCCCCAGGGACGACUCUGUCCCCAAGGAGCCCGCGGUGCCACCGCGCUCCGCCUUCGACCGCUUCGCCGACGCCGGCACCGUGCAGGGGCUGCUGCGCGACCGCUGCGUCACCUGCGUCCAGCACCUCCUGGGCUGCGUCCAGGAGCAGCUCCAGAGUGCCCAGAGCCAGCUGGACCCUCCUGGGGACACCAGGCUCAACGCCGUGCUCUUCAUGGCCAGGCUGUGCCAGGCCCUGCCCGAGCUGUGCCCUCACCUGCAGCGCUGUGUGCUGGGCCAGGCGGGUGGCAUGGAGUCACCGCCCAAGGAGCCGCGCUCUGCCAAGAAGCUGGGCAAGGGCAAAGCCCAGGAGGUGUCCCCCGAGCUGGCCAAGUGGCAGGGGGUGAAGGCAGAGCUCCUGCAGCAGAGCCUGGUGGCUUAUCAGCUCUGGAGCUCGGCUGUCACCAAAGGUCUGGUUCAGUGCUUCACCCACUCGUUGCUGCUCGACACAGCUGGCUCUGUCCUGGCCACUGCCACCAACUGGGACGAGAUUGAAAUCCAGGAGGAGACCGAGUCUGGGAGCAGCGUGACGUCCAAGAUCCGGCUGCCUGUGCAGCCCUCGUGGCACGUGCAGUGCCUCCUGUUCAGCCUGUGCCAGGAGGUGAACAGGGUUGGUGGGCACACCCUGCCCAAGGUCACCCUGCAGGAGCUGCUGAGGAGCUGCAUGGCAGAGGUGCUGGCUGCCUAUGGAAAGCUGGUGGAGCAGAAGCAGGAGAAGAGGCCAGACAGCUUCCCCCUGACCCAGAGCAGGGCUCUGCAGUUACUCUACGACCUGAGGUACCUGAGCAUCAUCCUGACAGCCAAGAGUGAGGACACAAAACCCAGCAGGAUCAAGCAGGACUCCGGGAUUGAGAAGAUCAUCGACUUCCUGGAGGGACACAUCGAUCCCUUCGACCUGGAUGUCUUCACCCCACACCUGAACAGCAACCUGAACCGCCUGGUGCAGAGAACCUCGGUUCUCUUUGGCCUGCUGACUGGGACAGAGAACCAGUACACGAGCAGGGGCGGCGCGCUGAGCUCGCAGGAGCUCCACAACAUCCUGCCCUUAGCAUCCAGCCAGAUCAGGUUUGGACUUCUGCCACUGAGCAUGUCGAGCUCGCGGAAGAGCAAGUCCACUGCCAGGAGCACAGAAAGAGUCCAGUGGGAUGCUGCCCUGUAACCCCGAGGAGGCCUGGCCAGGUACCCCAGCUGUGUGAGGAGUGUCCUGCUGCUCCCCUGCUGCUGAGCUGUAGCAGCCAAUCUUUCUGUUGCUCCAUUCCCCCCAGUUUAAAACAUCUGCUUAGGUGGAGCUCUGUGUGCUGGGUGAGAGCCAAGGAACACCUCACUGCUGUGGGAAGCAGCAAUUAAUGCUUCCUUUACUUAUUACCAGCCCAAUCUAUCCGUGGUGGUCUUGGCAACUGGGACAAGUUGUUGAGUUGACAAGAGCCAAGACAAAGGUAAAGGUCUGGUUUUACCAGUGUCAUUUGAGAUGAUGUUCAAUUUGCAACUCUCCUCCUCCACUUCUUGGAGCCCUUAAGGAUCAGACCCAGCAGAAGGGGUGUUUAAAAGCCCAGAACUUCCCAGCAAAGGUAUUCCUUACCUCUCACAGCUCAGCUGGACUAGAGCAUAGAAGUGUGCAGUGAUGUCUGGCUCGUUCUGUCACUCCCCUUAGCUGCUGUGCUGUGCUCAGCACACCCAUGUCCUGUGCUAGCCACACUUGGCAGGAUCCCUGACAGAUGCUUGCUCCUUCAAUGCUAAAACUCUCCUGGAAGGGUUAAAAUCUGCAGUUCUCCAAGAGCAGCUCCUGCAAGGGCACCAGCUGUGCUUCUACCACGCUGUGCUCCCUUGCUCUGAGAGCAGCAGCCCCUGCCCUGCUGCUCAGAGGGUUUUGAUGAGUUCAUCAGGGGUUUAUGAGCAUUGAGUGACAUCUGCCAAGUGCCUGUUGCCACCAGCAGCCAGGGCCAGGCUGCAGGCGCUGUGCUGCCCAGGGAGGACGAGGCACGGCCGGGCUCCCUGUUCCGGCAGCUCCUCACCGACGACGAGGACACGGUGGCACCGUCCCUCUUCAAGCUGGGCUGGCUCUCGGGCAUGACCAAGUGAG
Molecule: RNA transcript, 3801 nt
Organism: Passer montanus (Eurasian tree sparrow)
Lineage: Eukaryota; Metazoa; Chordata; Aves; Passeriformes; Passeridae
Gene: COG1
Gene name: component of oligomeric golgi complex 1
Exons: 15
Source: RefSeq, a predicted model, not a curated record